This 2456-nucleotide long non-coding RNA is filed under the name Lactuca sativa (garden lettuce). RNAcentral describes it as "long non-coding RNA (LSAT_LNC007441)". Lineage: Eukaryota; Viridiplantae; Streptophyta; Magnoliopsida; Asterales; Asteraceae. The record is from RNAcentral.
GCCGUUACAGCUAAUGUUGCUGCUGCGGUAUCCGUCUCAGCAAGGGCUACAUAGCGCUCGUCGAAAUACUCAACCAUGACGGUCUUGAUAGACCCAAACAUCUCCGACAACUAUGUCCGAAAAAGAGCAGCAACCUCAUCGUGCAGGAUCUCCUGAAUCCUAGCAUCCAGAUCCUUUGGUCUCAUCUAACUAGUAGUCCAUGUCACUACUGUUGGCCAGCCCUGGCUACCAGCUCCUGAUCCUGGUUUGGAUCCAGUAUCAUAACCACCAUUCUGAUACUACACUAGAGAGAUCUCGUAUAAUCCAUAUAAUAAUAGGGAACCAAUUUCCCAACUAUACCCUAGGGGUUGUGACUUCCUUGUUACGCGUAUGGGUCCUGUGCUUUCAGUAGUACAGGCCCAUACUACCUUCCACACCUACCCAUAUUUGUCUCAAGUGUCAUCACAACACCCUAACAAUAUACAAUAACAUGGAUAGCGAUCAAUCCUCACUCCUAGAGGAAUGCUAAGUAUCUCAUACUGGCCUACCGAACUCACACAACCCACCCAUGAAACUUCCACCAACCCUGAAGCACUCGUGUAUGUUAGCCAUACAUAAUGUUGGACCCUAUAGAGUUUCGAAUACCUGAUCCUACCCUAAGCCCUUCAUCAAACAAGAACAAGAAAUAAGGCCAAACCAAACAUUCUUAGGCUAUAAGAUCUUAAUUAUGUACGCUCGUGAUGCAUACACUAAGCAACUACAAUAAUGAUGUCAAUUUCAUAUAAGGAAAACCCUAGGCUAUCAUGCAUCAUACAAUCAGGCAAUUCUAUCAUGCAAUUCCUGAAGAUCCCUAGACUAGUACUAGCAUGCUGUUUUAACAUAUCAUAAUAUCAAAUAUCCAUAUGGUAUUUUGGGGUCUACUUACUGGCUCCGGCUGAUCGUACAAUCUGCAUCCUCCUUUAGUAUUUUGAAAACCAUUUAAAAAUCAUUUUGAAAAUAUUUUCCUUGAUUUGAGACUGGAUUCACACGAGUGUUCCUCCAAUUCACUCAAACCAAGGCUCUGAUACCAACGUGUAAUACCCAUAAAAAUCAAUCCAAUUUAAAACUUUUCCAAACAUCUAAAAGCCAUUACUUAUUACACAAUGUUUUCAAAAUAGUUUCAUAUUAGAGUAUCCCAAAAACCAUAAGUCCAAAACGCGAGGAUGUGUAUGAUCAUGCCUUCGCCUUGUCGAGACAUCUGAAACACCUGAAACAAUAAACUGAAACCGUAAGCACAAAGCUUAGUAACUUCUCCAAAAUACCCAUACAGACAACAAUAAACAUAUAAUCGCAAACAACAUACUAUGGGUCCAGUCAACCAUCGGGUUGGAAUACCCAAGGCCCUCAACCAUCAGGUUGGAAUGCCAACAUACUAUGGGUCCAGUCAUCCUGGGGAUAGAAUACCCCAGGCCCACAACCAUCGGGUUGGAAUGCCCACAUACUACGAGUCCAAACAUCCUCGGGAUGGAAUACUCACGACCCACAACCAUCAUGUUGGAAUGCCCAGGUCUGUUGGCUCUCGUACAAAGCAGAUAAGCCUCAACCACCGAUCAAACAUGUGUACAUAUAUAAGAUAAUCACAUAACAGUCUAUAAUCAAACAAAUCGAUCUAACAUAUCAUAACAACAUAAUAACAUCCUAUCUACCAGGAUACCGAUCUAACAGAACAUUCUAGCAUAACAUCGUCCUAUCUACCAGGAUACCGAUCUAACAGAUCUUAACAUCAUAAUACCAUCCUAUCUACUAGGAUACUAAUCUAACAAAUAAUACUAGCAUAACAUCAUCCUAUCUACCAAGAUACUGAUCUAACAUAUCAAAACAACAUAAUACCAUCCUAUCUACCAGGAUACUUAUCUAACAGAUCAUACUAGCAUAACAUAUCCGGAUAACAAUACAAAAGGGCCAGCGUUGGUGCCUUAGACCCUUGAGUAUAGCGCUCGUCGAAAUACUCAACCAUGAUGGUCUUGAUAGACCCAAACAUCUCCGACAACUAUGUCUGAAAAAGAGCAGCAACCUCAUCGUGCAGGAUCUCCUGAAUCCUAGCAUCCAGAUCCUUUGGUCUCAUCUAACUAGUAGUACGUGUCACUACUGUUGGCCCGCCCUGGCUACCAGCUCCUGAUCCUGGUCCGGAUCCAGUCUCAUAAUCACCAUUCUGAUACUACGCUAGAGAGAUCUCAGAUAAUCCAUAUAAUAACAGGGAACCAAUUUCCCAACUAUACCCUAGGGGUUGUGACUUCCUUGCUACGCGUAUGGGUCCUGUGCUUUCAGUAGUACGGGCCCAUACUACCUUCCACACCUACCCAUAUUUGUCUCAAGUGUCAUCACAACACCCUAACAAUAUACAAUAACAUGGAUCGCACUCAAUCCUCACUCCUAGAGGAAUGCUAAAUAUCUCAUACUGGCCUACCGACCUCACACAACCCACCCAUGAAACUUCC